RNAcentral lists this ribosomal RNA (253 nucleotides) under uncultured bacterium. RNAcentral describes it as "partial 16S ribosomal RNA". It matches the Rfam family "Bacterial small subunit ribosomal RNA", at positions 524 to 776 of the family's 1533-position model. The record is from RNAcentral.
UACGAGUGCUUCAAGCGUUAUCCGGAAUCAUUGGGCGUAAAGGGUGUGUAGGCGGUUGUGUUAGUCUCGCGUAAAAUUCUUCGGCUCAACCGAGGACCCGCGCGGGAAACGGCACAACUUGAGGACGGGAGAGGUCUCUGGAACUCAUGGUGUAGCGGUGAAAUGCGUUGAUAUCAUGGGGAACACCAAAAGCGAAGGCAAGAGACUGGCCCGCUCCUGACGCUGAAACACGAAAGCGUGGGUCGCGAAUGGG